Long non-coding RNA from Penaeus monodon (black tiger shrimp), 227 nucleotides. RefSeq lists it as uncharacterized. The transcript is spliced from 2 exons. The record is from RefSeq and is a predicted model, not a curated record. Lineage: Eukaryota; Metazoa; Arthropoda; Malacostraca; Decapoda; Penaeidae.
GAACAUCAGUAUAGCCUUCAGUAGAGGUGGUUCGAACAAACAAGUAGAACAGCAGUGAAAAGGAGAAAGAAGAAAAGGGGCAAGGAAGAGAAGGUAAUGGAUGGACGUAGAAAAAAAAACUCUCCGCAAGCGAAGAGACACAAAGGAAGGGGAAAGGAGAGAGUUAACGAGGAUGAAAAUGUAAAUGAGGAAGAAACUGAAAACAAGAGUAAAGAUAGAUAUAAAAA